Parasteatoda tepidariorum (common house spider) is the source of this 441-nucleotide non-coding RNA. The record is from RefSeq and is a predicted model, not a curated record. Lineage: Eukaryota; Metazoa; Arthropoda; Arachnida; Araneae; Theridiidae.
UAAAUUAGGAAAAUUUUAGUUAAAUGAGAGUCAAAAUUGUUCUAUGAUAAUUAAUUAAUCAUAUUUUGGUAAUUCUGAUAAAUUAUUUACUUAUGAUAAAAUCUUUAUAGUCAUAUUCUUUAGUAGUAAAUUGAAAUUCUUUCAAAAUGGCACAUUUCGUUGAUAGUGAAGCAAUAAGUAGAUCGAGAGCCGAUGCGAUGCAUUCUGAUUCGCUGGGUUUUCCGCCACAGCUACCGCUUAUAACAGUCACACCACCUCAAACUUUUUGGGACAGAUAUUAUGAAAAAAAUUAUCCAAAGGUGGCUUCAUAUCCACGAUUCGUAAGCGAGUUGCUGGCGAUAAUAAAGGACAACAUUCCUGAAGCAAAUUUGGAUCUGUUUAAUACACCAGAGAUGAUAAUUGGAACUUUAAAUUCGAUUGUGAAGAGACUUGAUGACAGAA